UCAUCUUGGGAGCAGAAUUUCACAUUUUCUAACUUAAAAUAAUGGCUCUUGGUAGCUAAGCAAGACGGGCCUGGUCAGUACUUGGAUGAGAGACUGUUGGGAAUACCAGG
This 110-nucleotide ribosomal RNA is filed under the name Periophthalmus magnuspinnatus. The record is from RNAcentral. Lineage: Eukaryota; Metazoa; Chordata; Actinopteri; Gobiiformes; Gobiidae.